Molecule: long non-coding RNA, 291 nt
Organism: Oreochromis niloticus (Nile tilapia)
Lineage: Eukaryota; Metazoa; Chordata; Actinopteri; Cichliformes; Cichlidae
Exons: 3
Source: RefSeq, a predicted model, not a curated record
CCUGGAGAGUCCAGGAUGUGGACUUGAAACUCUGAGAUUGAAGGACUGUAGUUUGUCAGAGAUCAGCUGUGAUUAUCUGGCAGCAGCACUGAAGUCCAACCCCUCCCAUCUGAGAGAGCUGGACCUGAGUAAUGAGUUCCCCUGGUGGUCGACUAAGAACAAGCUGCAGGAUUCAGGAGUGAAGCAUCUGUGUGGUUUCCUGGAGAGUCCAGGAUGUGGACUUGAAACUCUGAGAUUGAGGGACUGUGGUUUGUCAAAGAUCAGCUGUGAUUAUCUGGCAGCAGCACUGAA